GGAACCUGACGGAGCGAUGCCGCGUGAGUGAAGAAGGUCUUCGGAUUGUAAAGCUCUGUUCUUGGGGACGAAUAAUAUGGGGAGGGAAUGCCCCAUGCGUGACGGUACCUUAUGAGAAAGCCCCGGCUAACUACGUGCCAGCAGCCGCGGUAAU
RNAcentral lists this ribosomal RNA (154 nucleotides) under uncultured Bacillota bacterium. RNAcentral's name for it is "uncultured Firmicutes bacterium partial 16S ribosomal RNA". It matches the Rfam family "Bacterial small subunit ribosomal RNA", at positions 378 to 524 of the family's 1533-position model. The record is from RNAcentral. Lineage: Bacteria; Bacillati; Bacillota.